Molecule: ribosomal RNA, 253 nt
Filed under: uncultured bacterium
Lineage: Bacteria
Description: partial 16S ribosomal RNA
Rfam family: Bacterial small subunit ribosomal RNA
Source: RNAcentral
UACGUAGGGUGCAAGCGUUAAUCGGAAUUACUGGGCGUAAAGCGUGCGCAGGCGGUGGUGUAAGUCAGUUGUGAAAUCCCCGGGCUCAACCUGGGAACUGCAUCUGUGACUGCAUCGCUGGAGUGCGGCAGAGGGGGAUGGAAUUCUGCGUGUAGCAGUGAAAUGCGUAGAUAUGCGGAGGAACACCGAUGGCGAAGGCAAUCCCCUGGGCCUGCACUGACGCUCAUGCACGAAAGCGUGGGGAGCAAACAGG